AUCUGCUUUUGGUUGGUGCUAUAGUAAGAGCAUUAGCUCUUCUCUUAUCCCCGCUGUUGAAGGAAGACGCGGUC
Molecule: transfer RNA, 74 nt
Filed under: Nicotiana tabacum (common tobacco)
Lineage: Eukaryota; Viridiplantae; Streptophyta; Magnoliopsida; Solanales; Solanaceae
Description: tRNA-His
Source: RNAcentral